UGAGUGGCGAACGGGUGAGUAACACGUGGGUAACCUGCCCAGAAGUAGGGGAUAACACCUGGAAACAGAUGCUAAUACCGUAUAACAGAGAAAACCGCAUGGUUUUCUUUUAAAAGAUGGCUCUGCUAUCACUUCUGGAUGGACCCGCGGCGUAUUAGCUAGUUGGUGAGGUAAAGGCUCACCAAGGCAGUGAUACGUAGCCGACCUGAGAGGGUAAUCGGCCACAUUGGGACUGAGACACGGCCCAGACUCCUACGGGAGGCAGCAGUAGGGAAUCUUCCACAAUGGACGCAAGUCUGAUGGAGCAACGCCGCGUGAGUG
RNAcentral lists this ribosomal RNA (321 nucleotides) under Pediococcus pentosaceus. RNAcentral describes it as "bacterial SSU rRNA". It matches the Rfam family "Bacterial small subunit ribosomal RNA", at positions 92 to 407 of the family's 1533-position model. Lineage: Bacteria; Bacillati; Bacillota; Bacilli; Lactobacillales; Lactobacillaceae. The record is from RNAcentral.